UCCUACGGGGCGCAGCAGUGGGGAAUAUUGCACAAUGGGGGAAACCCUGAUGCAGCAACGCCGCGUGAGUGAAGAAGGUUUUCGGAUUGUAAAGCUCUGUUAGCAGGGAAGAGGAAGGACGGUACCUGCAGAGGAAGCCACGGCUAACUACGUGCCAGCAGCCGCGGUAAUACGUAGGGGGCAAGCGUUAUCCGGAUUUACUGGGUGUAAAGGGAGCGUAGACGGCGCGGCAAGUCUGAAGUGAAAGGCAGGGGCUUAACCCCUGAACUGCUUUGGAAACUGCCAUGCUAGAGUGCUGGAGAGGG
This 305-nucleotide ribosomal RNA is filed under the name uncultured bacterium. RNAcentral describes it as "bacterial SSU rRNA". It matches the Rfam family "Bacterial small subunit ribosomal RNA", at positions 337 to 658 of the family's 1533-position model. The record is from RNAcentral.